This 371-nucleotide unclassified non-coding RNA is filed under the name uncultured bacterium. RNAcentral's name for it is "contains 16S-23S intergenic spacer region". The record is from RNAcentral.
UCCGAGUUGUCCCCGGCAGUCCCCUUAGAGUCCCCGGCAUUACCCGCUGGCAACUAAGGGCAGGGGUUGCGCUCGUUGCGGCACUUAAGCCAACACCUCACGGCACGAGCUGACGACCUGGUGCAUCCCACUGUUUCCAGGGGCCAGGACUAUACCUUCACCCGAUGUAUCGACCAUCGGGGCCGGCGUAUUGCACCACUCAUAGAUUGAGGAGCGGCGUACGUCCUCAGGAGUGAUGCCAUUGCAGUCUCUACAGGGUGCAACGACUUCUUAGAUCGCCGACGAUCUCUGUCGUGCACUUCCCUCGGUAUUGCCCGCGACUGCCCGUGACGCAGUCGGGAGGAAGGUGGGGAUGACGUAGCUAAGCCUUC